GGCAGCGUAGCUCAGGGGUUAGAGCAACCGGCUCAUAAUCGGUAGGUCAGUGGUUCGAAUCCACUCGCUGCUACCA
RNAcentral lists this transfer RNA (76 nucleotides) under Chloroflexota bacterium. RNAcentral's name for it is "tRNA-Met". It matches the Rfam family "tRNA". Rfam says of the family: Transfer RNA (tRNA) molecules are approximately 80 nucleotides in length. Their secondary structure includes four short double-helical elements and three loops (D, anti-codon, and T loops). Further hydrogen bonds mediate the characteristic L-shaped molecular structure. tRNAs have two regions of fundamental functional importance: the anti-codon, which is responsible for specific mRNA codon recognition, and the 3' end, to which the tRNAs corresponding amino acid is attached (by aminoacyl-tRNA synthetases). tRNAs cope with the degeneracy of the genetic code in two manners: having more than one tRNA (with a specific anti-codon) for a particular amino acid; and 'wobble' base-pairing, i.e. permitting non-standard base-pairing at the 3rd anti-codon position. The record is from RNAcentral. Lineage: Bacteria; Bacillati; Chloroflexota. RNAcentral also lists the same sequence under 2 other names.